This 103-nucleotide transfer RNA is filed under the name Mesorhizobium mediterraneum. RNAcentral's name for it is "tRNA-Pro". It matches the Rfam family "tRNA". Rfam says of the family: Transfer RNA (tRNA) molecules are approximately 80 nucleotides in length. The record is from RNAcentral. RNAcentral also lists the same sequence under 1 other name. Lineage: Bacteria; Pseudomonadati; Pseudomonadota; Alphaproteobacteria; Hyphomicrobiales; Phyllobacteriaceae.
GGCCGAAUGGUGAAAUUGGUAAACACGCCGGGUUUGGAACUCGGUGAGCGGUCCCUGAGAAGACCAUGCGCUCUUGCGGGUUCGAGGCCCGUUUCGGCCACCA